Long non-coding RNA from Haliotis rufescens (red abalone), 521 nucleotides. RefSeq lists it as uncharacterized. The transcript is spliced from 3 exons. The record is from RefSeq and is a predicted model, not a curated record. NCBI's taxonomy places the organism in Eukaryota, Metazoa, Mollusca, Gastropoda, Lepetellida, Haliotidae.
AAUUUUACAUUUGUUUUCACGAUUUUCACGUAUUGUUAUUGUUACACGUUGACGACAUUCGUUUCAUUCCAUUUCAGUUUCGAGUUAUACAUAUGUGACCAUAGGUCAGAUAAGAUGAUUGGUCGACACCAUCUGGCAUGAAUCUGAGAGGAAUCGCAGUAGAUAGCAUCUUCCUACUGUCAACAAGUGAUAUAUAAUGUCAGGAACAUUGACAUUAUCUAAUAGGUUGACACGGAGGCCAGAUAGCGCUUCGUAUAAAAGAGUUCCUGGGCUAGCACAUGGGCAUUAUCUAGAACGGUAAACUACAAUAUCAUAACGCCAUGAUGACACUGACUGUUCUUGUCCUCGUGGCUUUGCUGGCUGGGGCAUCUGCUCAGAUGGGGUGCGCUCCACCAGGAAGCUCAUGUAUAUCUAGAAUAAUGAACGGCGGUUACCCCGGAGGCAGUUACCCUGGUUACCCCGGGGGUGGAUACCCUGGGGGAAACAAUGGCAGACACUGUUGUGGCGCGAUGGUUUGCCGA